Molecule: ribosomal RNA, 1540 nt
Filed under: Escherichia coli
Lineage: Bacteria; Pseudomonadati; Pseudomonadota; Gammaproteobacteria; Enterobacterales; Enterobacteriaceae
Description: bacterial SSU rRNA
Rfam family: Bacterial small subunit ribosomal RNA
Source: RNAcentral
AAAUUGAAGAGUUUGAUCAUGGCUCAGAUUGAACGCUGGCGGCAGGCCUAACACAUGCAAGUCGAACGGUAACAGGAAGCAGCUUGCUGCUUUGCUGACGAGUGGCGGACGGGUGAGUAAUGUCUGGGAAACUGCCUGAUGGAGGGGGAUAACUACUGGAAACGGUAGCUAAUACCGCAUAACGUCGCAAGACCAAAGAGGGGGACCUUCGGGCCUCUUGCCAUCGGAUGUGCCCAGAUGGGAUUAGCUAGUAGGUGGGGUAAAGGCUCACCUAGGCGACGAUCCCUAGCUGGUCUGAGAGGAUGACCAGCCACACUGGAACUGAGACACGGUCCAGACUCCUACGGGAGGCAGCAGUGGGGAAUAUUGCACAAUGGGCGCAAGCCUGAUGCAGCCAUGCCGCGUGUAUGAAGAAGGCCUUCGGGUUGUAAAGUACUUUCAGCGGGGAGGAAGGGAGUAAAGUUAAUACCUUUGCUCAUUGACGUUACCCGCAGAAGAAGCACCGGCUAACUCCGUGCCAGCAGCCGCGGUAAUACGGAGGGUGCAAGCGUUAAUCGGAAUUACUGGGCGUAAAGCGCACGCAGGCGGUUUGUUAAGUCAGAUGUGAAAUCCCCGGGCUCAACUCGGGAACUGCAUCUGAUACUGGCAAGCUUGAGUCUCGUAGAGGGGGUAGAAUUCCGGUGUAGCGGUGAAAUGCGUAGAGAUCUGGAGGAAUACCGGUGGCGAAGGCGGCCCCUGGACGAAGACUGACGCUCAGGUGCGAAAGCGUGGGGAGCAAACAGGAUUAGAUACCCUGGUAGUCCACGCCGUAAACGAUGUCGACUUGGAGGUUGUGCCCUUGAGGCGUGGCUUCCGGAGCUAACGCGUUAAGUCGACCGCCUGGGGAGUACGGCCGCAAGGUUAAAACUCAAAUGAAUUGACGGGGGCCCGCACAAGCGGUGGAGCAUGUGGUUUAAUUCGAUGCAACGCGAAGAACCUUACCUGGUCUUGACAUCCACGGAAGUUUUCAGAGAUGAGAAUGUGCCUUCGGGAACCGUGAGACAGGUGCUGCAUGGCUGUCGUCAGCUCGUGUUGUGAAAUGUUGGGUUAAGUCCCGCAACGAGCGCAACCCUUAUCCUUUGUUGCCAGCGGUCCGGCCGGGAACUCAAAGGAGACUGCCAGUGAUAAACUGGAGGAAGGUGGGGAUGACGUCAAGUCAUCAUGGCCCUUACGACCAGUGGCUACACACGUGCUACAAUGGCGCAUACAAAGAGAAGCGACCUCGCGAGAGCAAGCGGACCUCAUAAAGUGCGUCGUAGUCCGGAUUGGAGUCUGCAACUCGACUCCAUGAAGUCGGAAUCGCUAGUAAUCGUGGAUCAGAAUGCCACGGUGAAUACGUUCCCGGGCCUUGUACACACCGCCCGUCACACCAUGGGAGUGGGUUGCAAAAGAAGUAGGUAGCUUAACCUUCGGGAGGGCGCUUACCACUUUGUGAUUCAUGACUGGGGUGAAGUCGUAACAAGGUAACCGUAGGGGAACCUGCGGUUGGAUCACCUCCUUA